RNAcentral lists this ribosomal RNA (253 nucleotides) under uncultured bacterium. RNAcentral describes it as "partial 16S ribosomal RNA". It matches the Rfam family "Bacterial small subunit ribosomal RNA", at positions 524 to 776 of the family's 1533-position model. The record is from RNAcentral.
UACAGAGGUCUCAAGCGUUGUUCGGAAUUACUGGGCGUAAAGCGUGCGUAGGCGGUUCGCUGUGUCCGAUGUGAAAGCCCCGGGCUUAACCUGGGAAUGGCAUUGGAAACUGGCGGGCUUGAGUGCGGCAGAGGGGGGUGGAAUUCCGCGUGUAGCAGUGAAAUGCGUAGAGAUGCGGAGGAACACCGAUGGCGAAGGCAGCCCCCUGGGUCGACACUGACGCUCAGGCACGAAAGCGUGGGGAGCAAACAGG